AGAGUUUGAUCCUGGCUCAGGACUAACGCUGGCGGCGUGCCUAACACAUGCAAGUCGAGCGGACACCACUUUGUAGCAAUACAGAUGAAGUGUUAGCGGCAGACGGGUGAGUAACACGUAGUCAACCUGCCUUACCGUCCGGGAUAACUAGCCGAAAGGUUAGCUAAUACCUGAUACGAUCAUCGAGCGGCAUCGUUUGA
Molecule: ribosomal RNA, 200 nt
Filed under: uncultured bacterium
Lineage: Bacteria
Description: partial 16S ribosomal RNA
Rfam family: Bacterial small subunit ribosomal RNA
Source: RNAcentral